Molecule: ribosomal RNA, 881 nt
Filed under: uncultured archaeon
Lineage: Archaea
Description: bacterial SSU rRNA
Rfam family: Archaeal small subunit ribosomal RNA
Source: RNAcentral
CCGGUUGAUCCUGCCGGAGGCUACCGCUAUUGGAGUUCGAUUAAGCCAUGCGAGUCGCGAGUCUUAGGGACUCGGCGUACCGCUCAGUAACACGUGGGUAACCUGCCCUAUGCUGGGGGAUAACCUCGGGAAACUGAGAAUAAUACCCCAUAGUUCACCACGCCUGGAACGGUUGGUGGACCAAAGCUCCGGCGGCAUAGGAUGGGCCUGCGGCGUAUCAGGUUGUAGGGGGUGUAAUGUACCCUCUAGCCCUCUACGCGUACGGGUGUUGAGAGACAUCGCCCGGAGAUGGAUUCUGAGACACGAAUCCAGACCCUACGGGGUGCAGCAGGCGCGAAAACUUGGCAAUGCGAGAAAUCGUGACCAGGGAACUCCAAGUGCAUCGGGUAAGACCGAUGCUUUUCUUGACUCUUCAAAGGUCUUGGAAUAAGGGGUGGGUAAGGACGGUGCCAGCCGCCGCGGUAAUACCGGCGCCCCAAGUGGUAGUCGCUUUUAUUGGGCCUAAAACGUCCGUAGCCGGUCUGGUACAUUCGUGGGUAAAUCAACCAGCUCAACUGGUUGAAUUCUGCGAGCACGGCCAGACUUGGGACCGGGAGAGGUGUGGGGUACUCUCAGGGUAGGGGUAAAAUCCUGUCAUCCUGAGAGGACCACCUGUUGCGAAGGCGCCACACUAGAACGGAUCCGACGGUCAGGGACGAAGCCUAGGGGCACGAACCGGACUAGAUACCCGGGUAGUCCUAGGUGUAAACGCUGUGGACUUGAUGUUGGGGGCGCUCCGAGCGCACUCAGUGUCGAAGCGAAGGUGAUAAGUCCACUGCCUGGGGAGUACGGUCGCAAGGCUGAAACUUAAAGGAAUUGGCGGGGGAGCACCGCAACCUGAG